AGAACGAACGCUGGCGGCAUGCCUAAUACAUGCAAGUCGAACGAACUCUUCGGAGUUAGUGGCGCACGGGUGCGUAACGCGUGGGAAUCUGCCCCUUGGUUCGGAAUAACAGUUGGAAACGACUGCUAAUACCGGAUGAUGACGAAAGUCCAAAGAUUUAUCGCCAAGGGAUGAGCCCGCGUAGGAUUAGCUAGUUGGUGAGGUAAAGGCUCACCAAGGCAACGAUCCUUAGCUGGUCUGAGAGGAUGAUCAGCCACACUGGGACUGAGACACGGCCCAGACUCCGUACGGGAGGCAGCAGUAGGGAAUAUGGACAAGUGGG
RNAcentral lists this ribosomal RNA (322 nucleotides) under uncultured soil bacterium. RNAcentral describes it as "bacterial SSU rRNA". It matches the Rfam family "Bacterial small subunit ribosomal RNA", at positions 26 to 375 of the family's 1533-position model. The record is from RNAcentral.